This is a long non-coding RNA of Orcinus orca (killer whale), 2026 nucleotides long. RefSeq lists it as uncharacterized. The record is from RefSeq and is a predicted model, not a curated record. Lineage: Eukaryota; Metazoa; Chordata; Mammalia; Artiodactyla; Delphinidae. The transcript is spliced from 2 exons.
GGGAGUUCCGGCUGUUGGCUGGCAGUCUCUUUCCUGGCUGUCCUUCACCCACAUGCAUCAACAGGAGGAGAAAUCUCCACUCCGGAAGCAUCUUCCACAGCCCGGUUCUAGCCACCCUGCCCUCUGCUUCUGGAGAGGGCAUCAGCGCCCCGGCCAAGGCGGAGUACAAGGCCUGGUCCACUGAGCUUCCUGGGCUCUGGUCGGUGGGAAGGAACACGCCCUGCGCAGCACCUCCCUCGGGCUCUCCACGCAGAGUGAGGUGAGGCAGAGGCAUGUCCCCUCUGGACUGACUGAGCCCAUCCCCUGCUGCCGGGCGCCUCCCCAGGCCGCAGAGGGUGGGCGAGAGUCCCCACGAGAAGGGGGCUUAGGGCAGAGCAGGCUGACUCAAAGCCAGAGGUAACCCUUCCAGAGCCGUCUUCCCCCACCUUCCCCAGUGGAAAAGGUUUUAAUGCGUAGGCCUGAACUGUCUGUGGGCACAGGGAAAGCCCGGCAACCACACAGAUGUGCAACAGCGGGGCCUGGCCGAGCCCUCUUCACCCAGCCAAACGAUGGGCCCCGCCGCUGUUAGAUAGCAAAAGGAAAUUUGUGAUGACAGAAAAACAUGCCCAUGAUGUAUUGGUCUGGAGGGCUUCCCUGGUGGCGCAGUGGUUGAGAGUCCGCCUGCCGAUGCAGGGGACACGGGUUCAUGCCCCGGUCCGGGAAGAUCCCACAUGCCGCGGAGCAGCUGGGCCCGUGAGCCAUGGCCACUGGACCUGUGCGUCCGGAGCCUGUGCUCCACAACGGGAGAGACCACAACAGUGAGAGGCCGCGUACCACAAAAAAAAAAAAAGGUCUGGAAAGACCCUAACAAAUCAAAAUGGUGGAGUCUGAGGAGGAGGCCUAGAGAGAACUAGGGUGGAAACCACCCUUUCACUCUGAAAACCUCUGUCCCAUUUGUGCUGCAACAAACAUCCACUGCCUUUAUGUUAAGUGAAAAGACUAUCAAUAAAGAUAUUUCAAAAAAAUAGGGACUUCCCUGGUGGUGUAGAGGUUAAGAAUCCGCCUGCCAAUGAAGGGGACACAGGUUCGAGCCCCGGUCCGGGAAGAUCACACAUGCCGAGGAGCAACUAAGCCUGUGCACCACAACUACUGAGCCUGCCCUCUAGAGCCCAUGAGCCACAGCUCCUGAGCCCGCGCGCCUACAGCCCGUGCUCCGCAACAAGAGAAGCCACCGCAACGAGAAGCCUGCGCACUGCAACGAAGAGUAGCCCCCGCUCACCGCAACUAAAGAAUGCCCGCGUGCAGCAACGAAGACCCAACACAGCCAAAAAUAAAUUUAAAAAAAAAAAAGAUAUUUCAAAAAAAUAAUACAUCUCAUGGAGGGCACGGCGUCUUCUGUUUGGGGCAAGAGACGCGGCUGGAGGUUAGUCUAGGAGCUUCUCUCAUGCCUGUCCCAUCCACCCAUCCCGUCCCACCCCGCCGCCCCUUCACAUGGCCCCGCUUACCUUGGAGUAAGCCUUCCCACCUUUCAGCUCCUGCAUGGGAAACAGACAAAGGCAGCAGGAUGACUAGGGGAUCCCAGGGACCUCAUGGGUCUCCCCAGUCCACCCCAUCCCCCAAUCUGACUCCCAGGGAACGGGGACAAGAAAAGGGGUUGACUGACUCACUCAGGGCAUGGGCCUAAAGCCAGCAGCCCAGUGGCCCUACCAGCGCCCCCUGGCCUCUCACCUUGCGCACCGACACACGGAAGAUGCAGGGGUCCAGCAGGCCGGUGGCCGGGUUGGCACUCAUCUUACACACGAAGGUGAACCUCUUCCGCCACCGCACACAGUUCUCUUGCACCUCCUCCCUGCAGGUCAGAGGGACAGUGAGUGCAAGGGUGCAGGGUCCACUUUUAGGGACGUGAGGGCCCUGCUACCUUUGGGACGGGGAGGGAAACUCUCACUUUUCACUUUGUAUCACAAAGUGACUGUAUUUUCAUAACAAGAAUCUGCUUGUGUACGUGUUAUUAAAAAAACAACAAAAACAUUAAAAUGAAAAAACACAA